RNAcentral lists this ribosomal RNA (459 nucleotides) under uncultured bacterium. Its description in RNAcentral is "partial 16S ribosomal RNA". It matches the Rfam family "Bacterial small subunit ribosomal RNA", at positions 338 to 795 of the family's 1533-position model. The record is from RNAcentral.
CCUACGGGAGGCUGCAGUGAGGAAUAUUGGUUAAUGGCCGCAGGGCUGAACCAGCCAAGUCGCGUGAGGGAUGACGGUCCUAUGGAUUGUAAACCUCUUUUGUCAGGGAGCAAAGGGCGCCACGUGUGGCGCUUUGCGAGUACCUGAAGAAAAAGCAUCGGCUAACUCCGUGCCAGCAGCCGCGGUAAUACGGAGGAUGCGAGCGUUAUCCGGAUUUAUUGGGUUUAAGGGGUGCGCAGGCGGAAUGUCAAGUCAGCGGUAAAAUUUCGGGGCUCGACCCCGUCGUGCCGUUGAAACUGGCGUUCUUGAGUGAGCGAGAAGUAUGCGGAAUGCGUGGUGUAGCGGUGAAAUGCAUAGAUAUCACGCAGAACUCCGAUUGCGAAGGCAGCAUACCGGCGCUCAACUGACGCUCAUGCACGAAAGCGUGGGUAUCGAACAGGAUUAGAUACCCUUGUAGUC